RNAcentral lists this long non-coding RNA (424 nucleotides) under Mytilus galloprovincialis (Mediterranean mussel). The record is from RNAcentral. Lineage: Eukaryota; Metazoa; Mollusca; Bivalvia; Mytilida; Mytilidae.
CCUGGUAGAUUUUGAAAAGGGACAAGUAUAAUAUCUGCAAUUUCAGAUAUACUAAAAUUCUGCAUGAUCUGCUGAUCAAAAAAAAAAGGUAAAGCAGUAAAUCCCCAACUCAUGGAGCAUGAAUAUAAUUAUCAAGCAAUAUCUAGCUGUCUAUAUCUUAUAAACUUCAACUCUUGUAGUUUUAUUUAUAUUUCUUCAAUCAUAAUAUAAACAUAUUUUUUUAUAAUGAUCCUUUACACAUAAUAGCUAUAACAUACAAAUACAAAAUAAGCCUUUAACAAGGAAUAAAAUAAAACUAGAGACAAAAAAAGAUUCAAAUAAAUAUGGAAUGAUUCUAAAAAUAGUUGCUGCAAAAGUAAAUAAAAUACCGGUAUCCUUAAAUAACCUGGGCAACAUUCAAUGUACAUGUAUAAAUAGAAUAAAA